GUUGUUGUGGAGAAAUCAAUUGUGUGGAACGGGUUGUUGUGGGGUUGAGACCUUAUCAGCUCUCCUUACUCUUUACCUUUUUCACGCAAUGCACUUUCUCUUUAACAAGUCAACAUCAAUUUCUUUUGUUGUAAAAGGGUCGGCGGAAGGUGGCUUUCUUUUCGGAGAAAGUGUUUAUAGCCGUUGGUCUCUACAAUCGGAGAGAUUGAGGUCUGCAGCGUAGAUCCUUCGGGGUUAGAUACGUCGGUGCUAAGUUAUAAUCCUAUAUAGACAACUUGUUGACUAUGUUCGAUCAUGUAGCUUACUCGCUGGCGCUAUUUUACCUAC
Molecule: ribosomal RNA, 327 nt
Filed under: uncultured Neocallimastigales
Lineage: Eukaryota; Fungi; Neocallimastigomycota; Neocallimastigomycetes; Neocallimastigales
Description: partial large subunit ribosomal RNA
Source: RNAcentral